GACGAACGCUGGCGGCGUGCUUAACACAUGCAAGUCGAACGGAAAGGCCCUGCUUUUGUGGGGUGCUCGAGUGGCGAACGGGUGAGUAACACGUGAGUAACCUGCCCUUGACUUUGGGAUAACUUCAGGAAACUGGGGCUAAUACCGGAUAGGAGCUCCUGCUGCAUGGUGGGGGUUGGAAAGUUUCGGCGGUUGGGGAUGGACUCGCGGCUUAUCAGCUUGUUGGUGGGGUAGUGGCUUACCAAGGCUUUGACGGGUAGCCGGCCUGAGAGGGUGACCGGCCACAUUGGGACUGAGAUACGGCCCAGACUCCUACGGGAGGCAGCAGUGGGGAAUAUUGCACAAUGGGCGGAAGCCUGAUGCAGCAACGCCGCGUGCGGGAUGACGGCCUUCGGGUUGUAAACCGCUUUCGCCUGUGACGAAGCGUGAGUGACGGUAAUGGGUAAAGAAGCACUGGCUAACUACGUGCCAGCAGCCGCGGUGAUACGUAGGGUGCGAGCGUUGUCCGGAUUUAUUGGGCGUAAAGGGCUCGUAGGUGGUUGAUCGCGUCGGAAGUGUAAUCUUGGGGCUUAACCCUGAGCGUGCCUUCGAUACGGGUUGACUUGAGGAAGGUAGGGGAGAAUGGGAUUCCUGGUGGAGCGGUGGAAUGCGCAGAUAUCAGGAGGAACACCAGUGGCGAAGGCGGUUCUCUGGGCCUUUCCUGACGCUGAGGAGCGAAAGCGUGGGGAGCGAACAGGCUUAGAUACCCUGGUAGUCCACGCUGUAAACGGUGGGUACUAGGUGUGGGGUCCAUUCCACGGGUUCCGUGCCGUAGCUAACGCUUUAAGUACCCCGCCUGGGGAGUACGGCCGCAAGGCUAAAACUCAAAGGAAUUGACGGGGCCCCGCACAAGCGGCGGAGCAUGCGGAUUAAUUCGAUGCAACGCGUAGAACCUUACCUGGGUUUGACAUGGAUCGGGAGUGCUCAGAGAUGGGUGUGCCUCUUUUGGGGUCGGUUCACAGGUGGUGCAUGGCUGUCGUCAGCUCGUGUCGUGAGAUGUUGGGUUAAGUCCCGCAACGAGCGCAACCCUUGUUCACUGUUGCCAGCACGUUAUGGUGGGGACUCAGUGGAGACCGCCGGGGUCAACUCGGAGGAAGGUGGGGAUGACGUCAAGUCAUCAUGCCCCUUAUGUCCAGGGCUUCACGCAUGCUACAAUGGCUGGUACAGAGAGUGGCGAGCCUGUGAGGGUGAGCGAAUCUCGGAAAGCCGGUCUCAGUUCGGAUUGGGGUCUGCAACUCGACCUCAUGAAGUCGGAGUCGCUAGUAAUCGCAGAUCAGCAACGCUGCGGUGAAUACGUUCCCGGGGCU
This 1346-nucleotide ribosomal RNA is filed under the name uncultured bacterium. RNAcentral's name for it is "partial 16S ribosomal RNA". It matches the Rfam family "Bacterial small subunit ribosomal RNA", at positions 28 to 1381 of the family's 1533-position model. The record is from RNAcentral.